This 380-nucleotide ribosomal RNA is filed under the name uncultured bacterium. RNAcentral describes it as "bacterial SSU rRNA". It matches the Rfam family "Bacterial small subunit ribosomal RNA", at positions 1010 to 1393 of the family's 1533-position model. The record is from RNAcentral.
CGGCAGUCCUUCGGGACGUAUGCACAGGGGGUGCAUGGUUGUCGUCAGCUCGUGUCGUGAGAUGUUGGGUUAAGUCCCGCAACGAGCGCAACCCCUGUUGUUAGUUGCCAUCAUUAAGUUGGGCACUCUAACGAGACUGCCGGUGACAAAUCGGAGGAAGGUGGGGACGACGUCAAAUCAUCAUGCCCCUUAUGUCCUGGGCUACACACGUACUACAAUGGCUGCUACAGAGGGACGCGAAGGAGCAAUCCGGAGCAAAUCCCCAAAAGCAGUCCCAGUUCGGAUUGUGGGCUGCAACUCGCCCACAUGAAGUCGGAAUUGCUAGUAAUGGCAGGUCAGCAUACUGCCGUGAAUACGUUCCCGGGUCUUGUACACACCGA